CCUACGGGAGGCAGCAGUAGGGAAUCUUCCACAAUGGGCGAAAGCCUGAUGGAGCAACGCCGCGUGAGUGAAGAAGGUUUUCGGAUCGUAAAACUCUGUUGUAAGGGAAGAACAAGUACAGUAGUAACUGGCUGUACCUUGACGGUACCUUAUUAGAAAGCCACGGCUAACUACGUGCCAGCAGCCGCGGUAAUACGUAGGUGGCAAGCGUUGUCCGGAAUUAUUGGGCGUAAAGCGCGCGCAGGCGGUUCCUUAAGUCUGAUGUGAAAGCCCACGGCUCAACCGUGGAGGGUCAUUGGAAACUGGGGAACUUGAGUGCAGAAGAGGAGAGCGGAAUUCCACGUGUAGCGGUGAAAUGCGUAGAGAUGUGGAGGAACACCAGUGGCGAAGGCGGCUCUCUGGUCUGUAACUGACGCUGAGGCGCGAAAGCGUGGGGAGCGAACAGGAUUAGAUACCCUGGUAGUCCACGCCGUAAACGAUGAGUGCUAAGUGUUAGAGGGUUUCCGCCCUUUAGUGCUGCAGCAAACGCAUUAAGCACUCCGCCUGGGGAGUACGGCCGCAAGGUUGAAACUCAAAGGAAUUGACGG
RNAcentral lists this ribosomal RNA (587 nucleotides) under uncultured bacterium. RNAcentral's name for it is "bacterial SSU rRNA". It matches the Rfam family "Bacterial small subunit ribosomal RNA", at positions 338 to 916 of the family's 1533-position model. The record is from RNAcentral.